Molecule: small nuclear RNA, 107 nt
Organism: Entelurus aequoreus (snake pipefish)
Lineage: Eukaryota; Metazoa; Chordata; Actinopteri; Syngnathiformes; Syngnathidae
Source: RefSeq, a predicted model, not a curated record
GUGUUACUUCGGUAACACACAUACUAAAAUUGGAACGAUACAGAUGGAUUAGCUUGGCCCCUGCAGCAAGGAUGACACGCAAAUUCGUGAAGCAUUACCACAUUUUU